Mesocricetus auratus (golden hamster) is the source of this 789-nucleotide long non-coding RNA. RefSeq lists it as uncharacterized. The transcript is spliced from 2 exons. The record is from RefSeq and is a predicted model, not a curated record. Lineage: Eukaryota; Metazoa; Chordata; Mammalia; Rodentia; Cricetidae.
ACUCGCCGGCGAUGUACCAGCCCGCAGCACUGCAUGAAGAGGGGGCAGAACGCAGUCAGAGCGUGGCUUCACCAAGCUGUACUGUGCCUCGUCGUCUCGUCACGGCCACUGUCCAUUUCUUCCCACCUUCCACUCCCAGGUAAUUUGAGAUCUUCUUUAAGGGGGCUGCCUACUGGCAAAAAUCUAGAAAAGGUAGCAUUUCCCUUCCCAAAGGAACUAUUACUAACGAGGAGUUUUGCCUGUCCAGAUCAUCAGGGUUUCUGAGCAAGGCUUUUACCGAAGCCAUGCUCAACUCCGGAGAUUUCAAACCUCAGAGCCUUGCAUUUCACCAGGCUGCAGUAUGCUUCUUUGGAAGGGAGGAGGCCUACCCUGGCUGCUGUUUAUGUGACUGUUUCUGAGAACAACGCUGCUCCUGCUGCUGCUUGGCUGUUACAUCGCCCUCCUCACUACGCACAGACUGGCAACAGCAUCGUUGAUUCACUGGUACCUCUGUAACAUUUUGGGCAUAUCUGAUUUGCUCUCUUCUCCCUCCUCCCCUUCCACUGACAAAUGAGUGAGUCUAGGCUUUAAUUCACUGUGGAUUCUUAGGACUGUGGAGCCACCCUGUACACUGUGAGAUGCUUUGUCCUGCAGUAUGUAUUUCAAAGGAAUUGUAAGGAAGAUUGCUGGAGUAGCCUCGGGACCUGACUCACUCAACCACUGCGGCUGUACAGUUUUUUUCUGCUUGUUGCCAAAGAUUCAUUUUUCUACAUUGAAGCAUGUUAAAUAAACACAGCUCUGGCAGGCAAA